Molecule: long non-coding RNA, 444 nt
Organism: Empidonax traillii (willow flycatcher)
Lineage: Eukaryota; Metazoa; Chordata; Aves; Passeriformes; Tyrannidae
Exons: 3
Source: RefSeq, a predicted model, not a curated record
AAUGCAGUGAGGGCAAGUCCAGAGGAGGCCACAAAGUUGAUCAGAGGGCGGGAGCACCUCCCCUAAGGAGACAAGCUGAGAAAGCUGGGGCUGUUCAACCUGGAGAGGAGAAGACCCUCCUUUUGGCUGGGGAAUGAGACCCUGAGAGUGCCUUUAGCACUCUUUGCCUUGAACAGAAGACGCCUGUGUGAACGCCUGAGACAGAACAAGGAUGUGCAGAAGAAUUCAGUUGUUCUGCUGCAGGGUGGGGAAGAAACCCAGAGAUACUGUACUGACACUGGUAUUGUGUUUCGCCAGGAAUCUUACUUUCACUGGACUUUUGGAGUAACUGAAGCAGGCUGCUUUGGAGCAGUAGAUGUUGAUACUGGAAGAUCCAUCCUUUUUGUUCCACAACUCCCUGAAAGCUAUGCUGUUUGGAUGGGAAAGUAAGACCUGCCUUUUAAC